AGCGAACGCUGGGGACAGGCUUAACACAUGCAAGUCGAGCGUCCCGCAAGGGAGCGGCAGACGGGAGAGUAACACGUGGGAACGUACCUUUCAGUUCGGAACAAUCAAGGGAAACUUUGGCUAAUACCGAAUACGCCGGUAAGCGGAAAGAUAUAUCGCUGAAAGAUCGGCCCGCCUGUGAUUACAUAGUUGGUGGGGUAAUGGCCCACCAAGGCGACGAUCAGUAGAUGGUAUGAGAGGAUGAUCAGCCUCACUGAGAGUGAGACACGGCCCAGACUCAUACGGGAGGCAGCAGUGGGGAAUAUUGGACAAUGGGCGCAAGCCUGAUCCAGCCAUGCCGCGUGAGUGAUGAAGGCCUUAUGGUUGUAAAGCUCUUUCGUCAGGGAAGAUAAUGACGGUACGUGAAGAAGAAGCCCCGGCUAAUUUCGUGCCAGCAGCCGCGGUAAUACGAAGGGGGCCAGCGUUGCUUGGAAUCACUGGGCGUAAAGCGCACGUAGGCGGCUUUGUAAGUCAGGGGUGAAAUCCUGGAGCUCAACUCCAGAACGGCCUUUGAUAGUGGAGAGCUUGAGUUCUCGAGACGCGAGCGGAACUGCGAGUGUAGAGGUGAAAUUCCGUAGAUAUUCGCAAGCACACCAGUGGCGAAGGCGGCUCACCGCCCCGAUACUGACGGUGAGGUGCGAAAGCGUGGGGAGCAAACAGGAUUAGAUACAGGGUAGUCCACGCGUCAAACGAUGGAUGCUAGCCGUUGGCAGCUUGCUGCUCAGUGGCGCAGCCAACGCAUUAAGCAUCCCGCCUGGGGAGUACGGUCCCAAGAUUAAAACUCAAAUGAAUCGACGGGG
RNAcentral lists this ribosomal RNA (839 nucleotides) under uncultured Alphaproteobacteria bacterium. RNAcentral's name for it is "bacterial SSU rRNA". It matches the Rfam family "Bacterial small subunit ribosomal RNA", at positions 28 to 918 of the family's 1533-position model. The record is from RNAcentral. Lineage: Bacteria; Pseudomonadati; Pseudomonadota; Alphaproteobacteria.